AGAGUUUGAUCAUGGCUCAGGGUGAACGCUGGCGGCGUGCCUAACACAUGCAAGUCGAGCGGUGCAGUUUGAAGCUUCGGUGGAGAGCUGCAUAGCGGCGGACGGGUGAGGAAAACGUAGGAACGUGCCCCUUGGAGUUGGAUAGCCACGGGAAACUGUGGGUAAACCGACAUAGACUCGAGAGAGUAAAGGCCGAAAGGCGCCAAGGGAGCGGCCUGCGGCCCAUCAGGUAGUUGGUAGUGUAAAGGACUACCAAGCCGACGACGGGUAGCCGGUCUGAGAGGAUGGCCGGCCACAAGGGCACUGAGAGACGGGCCCUACUCCUACGGGAGGCAGCAGUGGGGGAUUUUGGACAAUGGGCGAAAGCCUGAUCCAGCGACGCCGCGUGGAGGACGAAGCCCUUCGGGGUGUAAACUCCUUUUCUCAGGGAAAAAAGAUGAUGGUACCUGAGGAAUAAGCCCCGGCUAACUACGUGCCAGCAGCCGCGGUAAUACGUAGGGGGCAAGCGUUACCCGGAAUUACUGGGCGUAAAGGGUGCGUAGGCGGCCUUGCAAGUCCGGUGUUAAAAGCCCUGGCUCAACUAGGGAGAUGCGCUGGAAACUGUAAGGCUUGGGUGCAGCAGAGGCAGAUGGAACUGCUGGUGUAGGGGUGAAAUCCGUAGAUAUCAGCAGGAACGCCGGUGGAGAAGUCGGUCUGCUGGGCUGUGACCGACGCUGAGGCACGAAAGCUAGGGGAGCAAACCGGAUUAGAUACCCGGGUAGUCCUAGCCGUAAACGAUGCUCACUUGGUGUGGGGGCAUAGAGCCUCUGUGCUGAAGCGAACGCGUUAAGUGAGCCGCCUGGGGAGUAUGCCCGCAAGGUGAAACUCAAUGAAUUGACGG
This 880-nucleotide ribosomal RNA is filed under the name Thermotogaceae bacterium enrichment culture clone B3112. RNAcentral's name for it is "bacterial SSU rRNA". It matches the Rfam family "Bacterial small subunit ribosomal RNA", at positions 8 to 916 of the family's 1533-position model. Lineage: Bacteria; Thermotogati; Thermotogota; Thermotogae; Thermotogales; Thermotogaceae. The record is from RNAcentral.